UUAUUCUGACUACAAAAUUAUUCUGACUACAAAACUAUUCUGACUACAAAAACCCGAUGGAGUCUCAGAUCGUUCUGAGUCCAACAGGAAGUCAGAGUUCAGUGAUUUAAUUAGGCCGGAGCAGAAACCCAGCAGCUUAUGAAGGACCAACAAGAAUCUGCUGAGUCAUGCUAGCACCAGAGUGCCAAGUCACUGGUUGCUAUGGUGAUUUUUACCUGUGAUUUUCAAGAGUCUAGAAAUAUAAGGAGGGUGAAUAAAAGUUAAAGUAAUUAAAAGUCUAAACUUUAAUUUUCUCCAAAAGUAUAAAACUCAGUGGAGGAAUCUAAAACACCGAGAGGUGAAGGGUCAAAGCUACCAAGCUGCUCGUCUCGCGCCGCAACGCUAACGCAUCAGAGUCCAACUUCCUUUGACUUGUUCAGGCUUCAGCUGUGAAGCCCGGCUGACCUACAGGUCCAAACAGGACUGGGUUUUCUAACUCAGUCAGUUCCAUCAUGAAACUGUUUAUCUGAAGCUUCCUAAGCGUGUUGGACUUAGCAUCCCCAUGCUAACCUGAUGCUAAGCUAGCAUCUUAUUCAGUCUGGACGACUGACUGGACAUGAAGGACCAGGUGGGCCUCGAUUCUAACCAACAGGUCUGCAGCUCUAGUUUGGAUUUUAUUAUCUGAACUUGUGUUUUCUUAUUGUUGGAAGUUGUUUCAUAUUUCUGCUACAGAGAAAUAAUUACUCAGCUCUAAAUGUUACAUUUCAUCCACUCUUUAGCAGGAACUGUCAGAGUGUGACGUUAUUUUUAUUCCUGCCAGAGAAAACAUUUGUUUCCUUUUUUUAAAUUGGUCUCUGUCCUCCCCAACAGCAACUCCCACGUGCACGCCCACGCGCACGCCCACGUGCACGCAGAGCAGAGAGAUUUCAGGCUUGUGGCUGGUGAGGCCAACAGAGCAGCAGGCUUUACGUAACCCAGUUGGCCCCCAGACUGUGUUCGGGUUGAAUGGGGACAUCUCACUGCAACACACAGAGAAAAGCCUUUCUGUGCACACACACACCCCGACACACACACACACGCCGACACAGAUACACAAACACACACUAGUACCCAGAAAACGCUCACACAAAGGCGAGCAGGAACACUGUGUAUCCUCCACACACAUUUAAAGAGUGGAAACUAGGUUGGGACGUCCUGUUCACUUCUGCCCUCACAGCCAAUCAGAGCUCAGCUCUGUUGCACAGCUCUGCAGGCUGUCGCCCCGUGUAACCUGCACCAAAUGAGCUGCUGACCCUCAGUGUGUGUGUCCAUUACAUACAUCAGAUGAGCUGUGGGUCGUAAUAAUCAUCACAGCGCGAGCGGCGGAGGAUCUGGACUUUGGGUCAGUGGGACAGUCCAGAUUUAGAUGGAAAGAAACGCUGAAUGUUUGGGUCCAAUCAGCUGUGAAGGUUUGAACCAGAUAAAAAGGAUGAGUCGGCAUGGAGACAGCAGCAGCCGGACCGGAGACGGCGCAGCGUCAGGAACUGUCUGCAGACAGAACCUCUGUCAGCCGCCAUGAUGCAGCGAUCCAACAGGCUGGAGCAAAACCAAAACAUCAACACACCUUCUCACGGCGUUUCCUGGCCAGAAGGGAAACUGCGCCGGGAGACCCUGGAGGUGGUACAGAAACAUCCUGAUGGACCCAAAGCUUCCCAAACCAUCACACUCAUCCCGCCUAGAAGCCCCGCCCACCAGGUAAUGGAAAGGAAACGUCUGCAGAGAGCAGAGGGGAGGAUUUAUCUAAUCAGAUUAAGAUUCAUUCAUUCCAGGAUCAACCAAACUCUCGUUUCCUCCACUGGAACGACUGCUUCCAAUCCCAAAGUCAUUUUUUGUUUUCAAAGCAGUCCAGGUUCCUCUGGUUCUUCCUGCCCAGCAGCUGCUGGGAGACAGAAGGACUGAUGAUGAUCGCUCCCACUGCAGAGAAACCACAGAGCUCAGACUGCGGCAUCCGCAGUGCACAAAGCAGCGUUUUCACAGGUCCUUCCUCCCAUCACUGCUUCCAACAAACUCAGUGCCGAUAUUUGCAAAGCUUCAUUUUAAAUAACAUUCAUGGUGCUAUUGCAUGUUUUUUUUUGUUUUUGUGUAAUUAAUGAACAAAAACGUCAUCCUGCUACUUGAACAUCCUUUGCAUUGCAGCACAUUAUUUCCUAACUACACAGUAUUUUCUGUAAUAAUCUUUCACAGUAUAUAAUUCUUAAUCUUGUUUUUAAACAUCUCCUCCAUUCUCUGACCUUAUCAGGCAUCUUUUCUGCACAGAUACAUUUAAAAAAUCCAGUUUAUGACUAUAAAACCUCCAGGACACAAAAACAAGCAGAAACUCUUCAAAUCAAACUGAAACUGAUUGAUUUACAUCAUGUAAGCUGAUAAAAUCACCACCAGUUCACAAGUAGAACAAGAAGUAAAAAACUCCACCAAUAAUCCAAUUAAGGGACUAAAAAGGAGCCAACAGCCCCCCCCCCCUCACAGGUCAGAUUAAUCAGCACAGAAAUGUGGGUGUUGCUGUUCCAGCCAAUCGGACGGCUGCUCCGGUCCUGAGGAGCCAAUCACGUUGAGACAGAAGAGGAAAGGAGAGAUAAGACGGCGAGGGUUUAAUCCUGUCACAGGUUAAAUCUCUGGGCUUCAGGUUAUCAAAGCUGCCAUUAAUCAGUUCCAUCCCACAGAAAGACAGAGUCACCAAACGGGUUUCAUUUCUACGAUUUAUACAGUUUUUAGUUAUUUUUUUUUAGCUAUCCAGAUCGAUCUCAUCUGUAUAGAUCCUAGCAGAGACAGAUGCUCACUACAACCUUUUUCUGGACCACCAACAGAUGUUUAUGACAAACCGACAUCUGGGAUUUAUCCACGACAGGAAUCAUGGGUAAAAACUCAGUAUGGUAGAAAUUUAAAAAGAACCACUUCUGUUUUCAUUUACCCUGAAACUCUGGGUUGAGUUUCUGACAUUUCUGACUGUUUCCAACAGUAAAUAUCACAUUUCUCAUCUAAAACUUGUUCACAGCUCAUAUUUUAUAUGCAGCUGUUUAGAAACAGGCAGUAAAAUACUUUAAUAAACAAACUAAAAUAUUUGUACUCAUGUUCUUUAAAGGGUUUUCUUCUGAUAUUUAUGAAAAUUGCAUCCCUUCAUCCAUCUUCACAACAUUUAAUUUCCCUUAAGGAUUAAUAAAAUAUUUCUGAAUUGAAUCUGAAUUUUGAAUCCAGUGUUAAGAGAGCAGAGAGAGAACUUGCAUUAUUAUGCUGUUAUAAAUAUAUUACUUUAAAAUGGUCUGAAAACAGGAAUAUUAUCAUUUAUCAAAAUAAAUGUUCAGACAAUUUAUUAUCCAGCAAAACCUGUCACUGUGACAAGGUGUUACCUGGCUGAAGAUUACGGAAAGUAAGUUCCUGAAGGAAAAUGUUCCUUAAAGUAUUUAAUUUAUAAAUUAAAUCAGCAACAAAGUUUGGAGAAAAUAUUUACAAAC
Molecule: long non-coding RNA, 3467 nt
Organism: Xiphophorus couchianus (Monterrey platyfish)
Lineage: Eukaryota; Metazoa; Chordata; Actinopteri; Cyprinodontiformes; Poeciliidae
Exons: 3
Source: RefSeq, a predicted model, not a curated record